AAUGGGGAAACCCAGUGUGAUUCGUCACACUAUCAUUAACUGAAUCCAUAGGUUAAUGAGGCGAACCGGGGGAACUGAAACAUCUAAGUACCCCGAGGAAAAGAAAUCAACCGAGAUUCCCCCAGUAGCGGCGAGCGAACGGGGAGCAGCCCAGAGCCUGAAUCAGUGUGUGUGUUAGUGGAAGCGUCUGGAAAGGCGCGCGAUACAGGGUGACAGCCCCGUACACAAAAAUGCACAUGCUGUGAGCUCGAUGAGUAGGGCGGGACACGUGGUAUCCUGUCUGAAUAUGGGGG
RNAcentral lists this ribosomal RNA (293 nucleotides) under Escherichia coli. RNAcentral describes it as "partial 23S ribosomal RNA". It matches the Rfam family "Bacterial large subunit ribosomal RNA", at positions 117 to 450 of the family's 2925-position model. Lineage: Bacteria; Pseudomonadati; Pseudomonadota; Gammaproteobacteria; Enterobacterales; Enterobacteriaceae. The record is from RNAcentral.